RNAcentral lists this ribosomal RNA (496 nucleotides) under uncultured bacterium. RNAcentral's name for it is "partial 16S ribosomal RNA". It matches the Rfam family "Bacterial small subunit ribosomal RNA", at positions 28 to 507 of the family's 1533-position model. The record is from RNAcentral.
GAUGAACGCUGGCGGCGUGCCUAAUACAUGCAAGUCGAGCGAACAGACGAGGAGCUUGCUCCUCUGACGUUAGCGGCGGACGGGUGAGUAACACGUGGAUAACCUACCUAUAAGACUGGGAUAACUUCGGGAAACCGGAGCUAAUACCGGAUAAUAUAUUGAACCGCAUGGUUCAAUAGUGAAAGACGGUUUUGCUGUCACUUAUAGAUGGAUCCGCGCCGCAUUAGCUAGUUGGUAGGGUAACGGCUUACCAAGGCAACGAUGCGUAGCCGACCUGAGGGGGGAACGGCCACACGGGGACCGGGACACGGGCCAAACUCCGAAGGGGGGGCGGAGUAGGGAAACUUUCGGAAAGGGGGAAAGCCCUGACGAGGAAACGCCGGGGGGUGAAGAAAGGGUUUCGGCUUGAAAAACCUUGUAUUAGGGAAAAACAAAAUGUUAAAUAAACUAUGACGGUUUGACGGGACCCAAGGCAAAAGCCACGGGUAAAUUAGUG